AGUGAACGCUGGCGGUAGGCCUAACACAUGCAAGUCGAACGGCAGCACAGUAAGAGCUUGCUCUUACGGGUGGCGAGUGGCGGACGGGUAAGGAAUACAUCGGAAUCUACUUUUUCGUGGGGGAUAACGUAGGGAAACUUACGCUAAUACCGCAUACGACCUACGGGUGAAAGCAGGGGAUCUUCGGACCUUGCGCGAUUGAAUGAGCCGAUGUCGGAUUAGCUAGUUGGCGGGGUAAAGGCCCACCAGGGCGACGAUCCGUAGCUGGUCUGAGAGGAUGGUCGCCCACACUGAAACUGAGACCCGUUCCGAACUCCUACGGGAGGCGGCGUUGGGGAAUUUCGGACAAUGGGGGCAACCCGGCGCCGCCCAGCCCGCGUGGGGGAAAAGGGCCUUCGAGUUGUAAAGCCCUUUAGUUGGGAAGGAAAAGCGGCAGGUUAAUUCCCCGCUGUUCUACCGUUCCCCAACGAAUAAGCACCGGCAACCUUCGU
Molecule: ribosomal RNA, 491 nt
Filed under: uncultured bacterium
Lineage: Bacteria
Description: partial 16S ribosomal RNA
Rfam family: Bacterial small subunit ribosomal RNA
Source: RNAcentral